UACUUUUUUUGGGGAAGUAAUUAGUAACUGAUUACUUUUUUUCAAGUAACUUGACCAACACUGCUCCCCAGUCAGCCAUGCCUCCUUGUCAUGUCUGCGUCUCCGUGCCCGUCUUGUGUUUCCUGGUUUACUUUGAUAGUUUCAUGUCCCGUGUUCAGUGUUUUGAGUUUUGCUUUGUCUCAUUAUGAAUGAUUAGUCUCACCUGUGUUUCCCUCCUGUUUCCCAUUCCAUCGUUACUUCCUUGUGUAGUUUAGCCCUGAGCGUUCCCCUGUCCAUUGUCGCAUCGUAUCCCCUCUUUGCUGUGUAUAACUUGCGGGCUCCUAGUAAAUUCCUAGUUCUCCAUUUUCUAGUUUAGUUCCUUAGUUUUUUGGUUUGAGUUUCUUAUUUAUAAUUCCUUGUUUUCAGUUUGGUUUUCUGUAAACGUGCAGAAUUAUUUCCAGCAUUAAAGCUGCUGCUUUCAGUCAGCUUCUCCUGUUUGAGUCCUGCAUCCUUGACAGAAACAUUGUAUUUGUCAUAAGCUACUUUUACCGGUGGUGUUCGUUGGUACAGCUGUCCAAACAGAGGCACCCAAACAUCCUCUUCCCAACUUCUCCAGCUCUUCCAGAGGAAAGUCAAGUCAGCUGAAGGACGUUCUCUCUAGCUUGUCAUGGGUCCUCCUCCUGGUGGUACAUGCCCACAGUGCCGUACCUAGAAGGUGCCCAGAAAGCAUCCUGAUUUCAAACCCAAACAACCUCCACUGGCUCCUUUCGAUGUGGUGAAGAAGCGGCUGCUCUUUGAGACCCUAUCUAAUCCUUACACAUAAUUUUCAGCAUAGAUGGGGACAGGAAGGUGGAUCAACAGCUGUAUUUCAUGUUCAGCUCUCUCAUCACUACAACAACAAGUACAACGAUCAACAUCAGUGGUUCACAGGAAAAUAUGGUUUAGUGGUGGAAGCCUCUGCCCACGGCCCGUCUGUCUACCUGCAGAGAGCAUCUGUUGUCAGAUAGGGGCAGUGAUCGCUCUGUCCACCAAUCAGCAUUGGAUCAACGCACAAUGACGCUCAUGUCGAGGACCGUGCAGUCGGGAUCAUGGAGGACUGCAUGGAAGCAUGUUUACCCUGGCUGAAAAUUUCUCUCUGUAGGAACAUACAUACACAAACGAACAAUCGCAGCACCAGAUAUUAAUUAUUAUGCAACACCAGUCUGUCAGCCUCAUGCUCCAUUGUCCCCUCAGACCAUGAGAUACUUAAACUCUUCCACAUGGAGCAGGAACUCGGAGUGGACGCUCCACCCUUUUCCUACCGAGAACCAUGGCGUGAGACUUUUAGUCGGAAAAAUAUUUAUGUUUAAAUCUUUGCACAUUUAUAAUAUUUGAAGUAAUUUUAUGAUCCAGUUCAACAGACCAACUGUUGCCCAGAGAUCAGCUUGGUCACUCAAUAUAAAGUUACACAAGUCAAUAAAAAGCCUUUAAAGGCUUUGUUGUCUUCUACUCAUCACUCCUGUAUAAAUGAAUGUCCAAAUUUAUGACGAUAUCUUUAUAGCAAUAAGAGUUUCAGAGCAGGAGGAUUUUUCGGUGACUUCUUAGAAACUGUAGUUCCCCGAGUCGACCUCAAUGCCACUGCCCCUCUACCCACCUCCUCACCUCUGUGCCUCUGACUCCUGCCAACCUGGUUGGUUAUAUAACCUGUAAAUGAGAAGGUCAGCACCCGGCAGUCAUCACUAUGGAUACCUGGCACGGACUCGCACACGCACAGUACAUCUUGGCGGGUCCACUUUAGGCGCCACAUGUGCAUGUGUGCUAUAGUGUGUGUAUCAGAAGUAGGGCAGCCGCGGCGUUACCUAACUCACCCAGAAAAGACAUCUGGGGAGUUGAUUACAGCUUCCUGUGCGCAAACACAAGGCAACCAUCAAUCAUACGCAUGCAAGCGGCCCGCUCACACCCGUUCAUGCGAGCAGGCGCGCACAAACAUUUGGCUCACAUUUUGGCCACACACAGGGAGAAAGGCGCACAAACAAAUAAAAGGCACACAUUUGCAGGCACGUGUACACGCCAAGACGGUCACGUGAGUCCAUGAGGCCGCGUUUAGGAGAAAUUAAAGAAAAGUUUUUGCUUGAAAAAUGAGCCCAAGCUUCACUUAAACAGAGCAGGGGAAAAAAUAUGUUACCCGACUUUACAGAUCGACGUCUCGAGUGUUUGAUCAGUCCACUCUGCCAUAAAUCACCCACUGUGGGUUCGACUUGCACGUGUUUUCUGGACUAUUUUCCAUCUGCAAUAAUUCCACUAGUUUAGAAUCUAAUCCCAUUUCUGUGCUUGUUUGAUGCUUACAUUAAGAGGAUUGAUAGUUAGGAAGGCAUCAGUCUGUUACAAGCAGCACACAUCUGAGUCGUCUGUGUGCAGCUGAAUAAUAAUAAUAAUAAUGAAUCGUAUUUGUUGGCAUCUUAAAAAUUAACAACGGCAUUAAAAGCAAUUUAAAAUAAAAUGAUUGUAAAUAUGUGAAACACGUUUUUAGCUGGCGUGCUGAUGUAAACAGAUGUGUUUUGAGCUUCUGAUAUGACCCAACAAGUCUGAAGUGAGGUGCUGUCAGGAGAGCAGCUGAAGCUGAGCGGAGGAAAGAUGUCGUCGUGCCAAGUCAGAGAGCUUUCAAAGGCAGAGAAGCAAAAUCUUGUAUUGGAUAUGUUGAGAAUGUGGAGCUGGAUGAGAACAGGCUAAUUCAUUGCCAGUAUUUUAAGACUCACACUUGGUCAGUUUUCAUUCAUAUUUUAAACAUUAAAUGAAAAAAUGUUUUUGACUUUUUUAAAAUUUCCGUGAGCUUGAGCCUUAAAGGGACACUGAGAUGGUGCUCCUGAUGCAGUUCAGUAAGGAAGCAGUCACUGUAAACAUGCAGCACAUCAAACAACCUGACAAAACACCGACUGUGAGCUUGAUCUCAGUCAGUCCUGAGCAGCACUUGCAUCCCAGUUAAAGACUAGAACCAGCUGCACACCUGCCUCGACUGCCUUCGAGUCCAGAGACUGUCAGCUAAGCCUGACCUUCAUUGUGUGUGUUUUUUGUCUUCGACCACAAACCUGUAAAGGCUUCGGUGGUGUGUAUGCACGGUUCUGAUUUUAAUGAGAUGCCAUCAUCUGUCUACAAACACACAAACCAGCCAAAAGAGUUAAAUGAUUCACUUGCUGUGUUUGCUUUAAAAGGUUUAAAUGUGAUGACACAUGGAGAGAGCGAAGAAGAAGACGAAGAACAAAGCUACUAAACUACUGAAACUCACAAAGACGCCUCCUGCUUCCAGAACCAUUAGGAGGUGUGGCUGAUCUGCAGCUAUAUGGCUGCCAUAGUGAAAUGUGAGGAUGUGAUGGAGGUUAAGAAAAUACACACAACCAAACUGAAGUUUUAUUCUAGAACAACAUGUCACACAUCCUUUGUUUUAAGAUCAAAUCUGCAAAGUUAAAGAGUUAGGGAUUAGCAGUGGAGCAAACCACUAUUAGGCCUGUGGGGGUGGUAGGGUGUCUGUUUUAAAGCCUAAAAACAUUAUGUGAAGGUGAAAACACAACCAGGCCGGGGAAAGGAAUCCCGAUAAUGUCACAAAGUCCAGGGAAUGAAAAUGCUGUACCGGUGUGUCCAGCCUGCGAGCGUCGGACACACCGCUCA
Long non-coding RNA from Oreochromis niloticus (Nile tilapia), 3621 nucleotides. RefSeq lists it as uncharacterized. The record is from RefSeq and is a predicted model, not a curated record. The transcript is spliced from 2 exons. NCBI's taxonomy places the organism in Eukaryota, Metazoa, Chordata, Actinopteri, Cichliformes, Cichlidae.